AGGCCCGUUGGUCAAGCGGUUAAGACACCGCCCUUUCACGGCGGUAACACGGGUUCGAAUCCCGUACGGGUCACC
Molecule: transfer RNA, 75 nt
Filed under: Shouchella lehensis G1
Lineage: Bacteria; Bacillati; Bacillota; Bacilli; Caryophanales; Bacillaceae
Description: Bacillus lehensis G1 tRNA-Glu
Rfam family: tRNA
About the family: Transfer RNA (tRNA) molecules are approximately 80 nucleotides in length.
Source: RNAcentral